ACGUAGGGAGCAAGCGUUGUCCGGAAUUACUGGGCGUAAAGGGCGUGUAGGCGGGAAUUUAAGUAAGGUGUGAAAACUCCGGGCUCAACUUGGAGACUGCACUUUAAACUGGAUUUCUUGAGGGCAGGAGAGGAAAGUGGAAUUCCUAGUGUAGCGGUGAAAUGCGUAGAUAUUAGGAGGAACACCAGUGGCGAAGGCGACUUUCUGGACUGUACCUGACGCUGAGGCGCGAAAGCGUGGGGAGCGAACAG
RNAcentral lists this ribosomal RNA (251 nucleotides) under uncultured prokaryote. Its description in RNAcentral is "partial 16S rRNA". It matches the Rfam family "Bacterial small subunit ribosomal RNA", at positions 525 to 775 of the family's 1533-position model. The record is from RNAcentral.